This 497-nucleotide ribosomal RNA is filed under the name uncultured bacterium. RNAcentral describes it as "partial 16S ribosomal RNA". It matches the Rfam family "Bacterial small subunit ribosomal RNA", at positions 28 to 507 of the family's 1533-position model. The record is from RNAcentral.
GAUGAACGCUGGCGGCGUGCCUAAUACAUGCAAGUCGAGCGAACGGACGAGAAGCUUGCUUUUCUGAUGUUAGCGGCGGACGGGUGAGUAACACGUGGAUAACCUACCUAUAAGACUGGGAUAACUUCGGGAAACCGGAGCUAAUACCGUAUAAUAUUUUGAACCGCAGGGUUCAAAAGUGAAAGACGGUCUUGCUGUCACUUAUAGAUGGAUCCGCGCUGCAUUAGCUAGUUGGUAAGGUAACGGCUUACCAAGGCAACGAUGCAUAGCCGACCUGUGAGGCGGAUAGGCGACAUUGGAACGUAGACGCGGACAUGACUCCUGCGGUACGCAGCAGUAGGGUAUGUGACGCAAUGGUGGAAAGUCUGACGGAGUAACGGGGAGUGAGUGAUGACGGUCUUCGGAUCGUAAAACUGUGUUAUUAGGUAAGAACCUCUGUGUCAGUAGCUGUGCCCAGCUUGACGGUAACUAAUAAGAAAGCAACGGCUAACUACGUG